Molecule: ribosomal RNA, 433 nt
Filed under: uncultured bacterium
Lineage: Bacteria
Description: partial 16S ribosomal RNA
Rfam family: Bacterial small subunit ribosomal RNA
Source: RNAcentral
AACGAACGCUGGCGGCAUGCCUAACACAUGCAAGUCGAACGAGACCUUCGGGUCUAGUGGCGCCCGGGUGCGUCACGCGUGGGAACCUGCCCUUAGGUUCGGCAUAACUCCCCGACAGGGGUGCUAAUACCGGAUAAUGUCUUCGGACCAAAGAUUUAUCGCCUUUGGAUGGGCCCGAGUUGGAUUAGCUAGUUGGUAGGGUAAAAGCCUACCACGGCGACGAUCCAUAGCUUGGCUGAGAGGAUGAUCAGCCACACUGGGACUGAGACACGGCCCAGACUCUUACGGGAGGCAGGAGUGGGGAAUAUUGGACAAUGGGCGGAAGCCUGAUCCAGCAAUGCCGCGUGAGUGAUGAAGGCCUUAGGGUUGUAAAGCGCUUUUACCCGGGAUGAUAAUGACAGUACCGGGAGAAUAAGCUCCGGCUAACUCCGUG